GACCGAUAGUGAACCAGUACCGUGAGGGAAAGGCGAAAAGAACCCCUAGCAGGGGAGUGAAAUAGACCCUGAAACCGGAUGCUUACAAGCAGUUGGAGCCUCUUUAUGAGGUGACAGCGUACCUUUUGUAUAAUGGGUCAGCGACUUAAUCUCAUUAGCAAGCUUAAGCCAUAUAGGUGUAGGCGAAGCGAAAGCGAGUCUGAAUAGGGCGAUUUAGUUAAUGGGAUUAGACUCGAAACCGGGUGAUCUAGUCAUGAGCAGGUUGAAAGUGAAGUAAAAUUCACCGGAGGACCGAACCCACUAGCGUUGAAAAGCUACGGGAUGACUUGUGAUUAGGGGUGAAAGGCCAACCAAACUCGGAAAUAGCUAGUUCUCCGCGAAAACUAUUUAGGUAGUGCGUCGUGUGAAUCUUAUUGGGGGUAGAGCACUGAAUGGGCUAGGGGGAAGCAAUUCCUACCAAACCUAAUCAAACUCCGAAUACCAGUAAGUCUGCACGGCAGACAGUCCAUGGGUGCUAAGGUCCUUGGACGAGAGGGAAACAGCCCAGAUCAACAGCUAAGGUCCCCAAAUAAUGAUUAAGUGUGAAAGGGAGUGGGAACUCCAAGACAGCCAGGAGGUUGGCUUAGAAGCAGCCAUCCUUUAAAGAAAGCGUAACAGCUCACUGGUCUAAUUAAGAGAUCCUGCACCGAAAAUGUAACGGGGCUCAAAUCAUUUACCGAAGCUUUGACAAUUACUUUUAGUAAUUGGGUAGCGGAGCGUUCUGUAAGCCUGCGAAGGUGAUGCGUAAGCAUUGCUGGAGGUAUCAGAAGUGCGAAUGCUGACAUGAGUAACGAUAAGAAAUGUGAAAGACAUUUCCGCCGAAAUCCUAAGGUUUCCUGCGUAAAGCUAAUCUGCGCAGGGUUAGUCGGCCCCUAAGGCGAGGGCGAAAGCCGUAGUCGAUGGGAAGCAGGUUAAUAUUCCUGCACCAGCUGGUAGUGACGGAUGAAGUAAAUUGUGAGUUCUUACUGGAUUGAACUUGCAGUGAAUUUGUCCCUGGAAAUAGCUCCAGCAUUAGACCGUACCAAAACCGACACAGGUAGGAGGGUAGAGAAUACCAAGGCGCUUGAGAGAACUAUGUUGAAGGAACUCGGCAAAUUACACUUGUAACUUCGGGAUAAAAGUGACCUGCUAUUGGGCAACCAGUAGGAGGUGGCACAGAAGAGGGGGUAGCGACUGUUUACUAAAAACAUAGCACUAUGCAAAGUCGAAAGACGACGUAUAUGGUGUGACGCCUGCCCGGUGCCGGAAGGUUAAUAGGAGGGGUGCAAGCCCUGAAUUGAAGCCCCGGUGAACGGCGGCCGUAACUAUAACGGUCCUAAGGUAGCGAAAUUCCUUGUCGGGUAAGUUCCGACCUGCACGAAUGGCGUAACGAUUUCCCCACUGUCUCCAACAUAGACUCAGUGAAAUUGAAUUCUCGGUUAAGAUGCCGAGUAACCGUGGUUAGACGGAAAGACCCCGUGCACCUUUACUGCAGCUUUGUAUUGGUAUUAGGGAACAGAUGUGUAGCAUAGGUGGGAGACUUUGAAGGAGUGGCGCUAGCCAUUCUGGAGUCACUAGUGAAAUACCACUCUUCUGUUCCUUGAUGCCUAACCAUACACCGUCAUCCGGUGUUGGGACCAUGC
Molecule: ribosomal RNA, 1661 nt
Filed under: marine metagenome
Description: bacterial LSU rRNA
Rfam family: Bacterial large subunit ribosomal RNA
Source: RNAcentral